Podarcis lilfordi (Lilford's wall lizard) is the source of this 12388-nucleotide non-coding RNA. Lineage: Eukaryota; Metazoa; Chordata; Lepidosauria; Squamata; Lacertidae. The record is from the annotation of a GenBank genome assembly.
GAUCAUUCAGCAAGUGAAAGAGAAAGUGGAUUGAGAUGUAAGUAGACUUUUUCAUCAGCAUCUGCAUUCUGUGCUGGUAAUGCUCUCUGACAGUCUUAGGGAAUGUUUAAAAUAGGGAGGUCCUAAGGAAAAGCAGGACAUUCCAGAAUCACAUUAGAAACUGGGACAGCUUCUGUAAAUCUGGGAGUGUCCCUGGGAAAUGGGGGCACUUGGGGGGUCUGUUACCUGGCCUUUGACACCAGAGAGUUGUAUUUUCAAGACUUGCCCUGUUGACACCCAGUGCCCUUUUGUGUUGGGGGGAGGUUAUUGGGUUGUUUUGUUUUUAUUAUGUAUUUUGUAUUUUUAAAUUGUGAUCUUAUCCUGUGAACUGCCCUGAAACCUGUGGGUAUAGGGUGGUAUACAAAUUUAAUUAAUGACAACAACAACAAUAAUUUUAGAUGGUUGCAACUUGCCCUGGGACCUGCUGGUGAAGGAGGGUAAUAAACUGAAUAAAUACGCAAGAGGUGACUUUAGGUUCAGCAAUAUAGGACCAAAGAGGCAGAUAGUAGAUUAGAUAGCUAAUGCUCAGUAGGUGUAGGAACAACGGAAGCUUGAAUAUAAAGGAAUAAAUUUCAUUUUACAUAUUUGUAAAAAGCUGAAUGUGGAUUAAAACUUAGCAGCUUAGUAGCGUCAGUUGAGAGUAGUGUCAGUUGAGUGCUGGUGGUUGCUAGGUUGCGGAGGUCCUUGUGACACGCCCUUCAUUGUGACACCUCCCUCUGCUGGCUCAUUGGACCUCUAGAGGCAUAGCGAUCUCCUUUGGUUUGAUCAUUCAGCAAGUGAGAGAGAAAGUGGAUGGAGACGUAAGUAGACUUUCUCAUCAGCAUCUGCAUUCUGUGCAGAUAAUGCUCCCUGACAGUCUUAGGAAACAUUUAAGAGAUUAAGAUCAGGAAUAAUUUAAAUGCUUCAGCCAGCCCUUCUGGGCAUCUUUAUGACUCCACCCACUGUUUUGUAACAUCAAAUGAAAGGAAGUGACUGUGGGUUCUGCUUACACUUUAGGAAAAGGAAAACUAAUAACAUGUCAUGCCUUGCAGAAGGGCGUUCUUUCUGGGCUAGUGACAAAAGAGUCACUUGCUAACUCGCCAUGGGAGCAUUAAGAAUGCCCUCUGGAGAGGGUAAUAGAUCUUCCUCCCCUUCCUGCCUCCCAGGGCUCAUCUUUCAAAGGACAGCCAAGGUACAAAACCCUUCAGCAGGCUGCUGUUUCCUUCUAUAGUAUUAUUAGUAUGUGGUAUUUGAUGUUUCUCUUUUAAACUUCCCUUCUCCACAUAAGCAAAUCCACCUCUUUCAAUGAGAUGAUGAGAAUUGUCUUAUAAUAUCCAGUGGGUGCUAUUCUGGUAGAGUAUUCAAGCACUCUCUUCACAGGAUACCCAUUAUAAUAUGCCUAGGGAAGUGAAUUCAUCUUGAGCUUUGAGUCCUGAAUGCCCAAACCAGUUUAGGGAUUUAGAUCAGGAGAGUAUUGUGAGUCCCCUUUCUCACAUUUUAACCCUUUCUUCUUGUUUUGGUCCUGAGGAAAAUCUUCUCUUCAAAUCUGGUAUCUGAAUUGAGAGGAAAUCCCCCAUGGGUGCCAAUCCUGCACACUAAGUGUGAAUGAAUAUUGUGGCUCUUGUCUGUUUUCGGCCUACCAAAUAUUUGAGAGAUAGCUUUAUGGCUCCCUCUUGGUCUUAUUCAGUUUUCUGAACCAUUGCUUGGUUUUCUAAGGCUACGUUACAAACUUGCCCCAUAAAAACACUUGACAGCUAUGAAUUCCUUCCGUACGCCCUCACAUUUCCAUCUGACUCAUUUAUGAUAUUAUUAUCUUCCUGAAAUAAUUUGUAAACUGUGCGUGAUUCAUGCCUGGGAAUUAUUUCAUCCUACUGAUGUGGGUGGAGUAACCUCCCCCACCCCCUGUUAAGAAAUUCACCAAACAUUCCACUUUGAUGAAUAUGAAGUACAGAGCCUAAACUUUGCAAUUGUCCUUUUCUUGAUGGAUAUUCCGUUCUGGAUUUUCUGUACCCAGCAGGAGGUUGAAUUGGGUUCAGUUGGGCUCCCUCUGACAAAGGUGUGGGUGGCCUAACACUUUUUGUACGACAAGCUGAGAUUGGUUUUCGAAUGAAUUACUGCCCUUUGGUUUCGAAAGUUAUUUAGGGUGAAUGGGCAUCGCUGGCCAACCUCAGUCUCCCCUCAGCCUGCCCCCCAACCUGCCUACUUACAACCAGUCUAGCAGAUGACACUGCCCGUCAGCUUCAUGUUGGUGCUUGCCCCUUGUAGAACUCACCAGGGAGAUGAACGGGGACAAUACUAGAAUUAGAUGGCUGUACCUGCCAUUGGGCUCUCUACCUUCUGCCUGUCAGGAACUGGCUGUAUGAGGAAGUGUGGUGGGAACCGCCCGCCCAAGAGCCCCCCCCCCCGGGACACAGAAGACGACAACUUAGAUUCCCAGAUGGUGGUGGGAAACUGAAGAACAGUCUGUAGAAGGAUGAGCUGGGAGGUGCAAGAACCAUGGGGUUUGAGCUAUCAAGAGGGGAGCCGAACUAGAGGACUGUGCUGUGUUGUUAAUUUCUGUAAAUAAAUUGUAUUUUGUUCCUCCCAUGUGUGUGUCCUGGUCUGUGGUUGACCUGGCUCGUUGACAGCACACUGACACUGCCCUACCAGUCCAAGUGAGCGCUAGAUACUAUUGUAUUGGUGGUGAGAUUUCUUCCUCCCAACACGCACAACUUACAGAGGACAACCACUGGCAAUGAGAGACUGGUGUGCAGCAAAAGAAACGGGGAGAUCUGAUUAUCUGAACGUACUAGUCUGGAGGUCUACCAUGUUCUUCAAGUGAAUGGUAAGUUGAGCACAUGAGCUGCACUCUGUUACUUUUGGAUGCUGCCUCCACUGUAUAGAGUGGGCAUAGUUCUGAUACCUAACAUGUUGUAUACCAUCCACCUUUUAAUUGAUUCAUACUCGGUACUUUCCAGUAGCCUGGAGCGUUCGAUGGGAAGAUGGGAGACCUUUUGUGUUAUACUGUGAUAAUCAAAUGGGAGCAGCCGUUAUGGAAACAGCAAAGGGUGGUUCUAAAUGUCAUUCAUAUGAUGCAAAGGCUGCAAUUCAGGAUCCAAAAAAACAUUGCUUUUAAAAUUGUCUAGAUGAUUGUUGCUGCUUUGGUUGUGUUCUAUGUGAGCAGGAGCCUUCAAGGUUUACAGCUGACCCUUGAACAGCACAUUCCCUUUUCGCUGCAAACCUUGGGGGCUAGUAGCAUGGGCAACUCCUGUGUUUGUCAGGAAGAUAGUGGGGUAGAAGACAAUGCAGAAUGCAGAAGUCGCCAGACAGAGAACAGCAGAGUGCCGUAAUGUUGGUAGACAAGUACUUCCCGAAAAGACAUAUUGCCAUGGAUGAACCUUCCUUCUCUUGUAAAUUUCUGCGCUGCAAUCUGUGGAGACUGCUCUAAUGUCCCCCCUCCAAUGGCAUUAAAGUGGGCAACUUUGUGUUGGAAUUGGAAAUGUCUACAGAUGUUUCAGAAACAAUCCAUGAAUAAGAUAGUAGAUUUCUCUUGGGAUGCAGAUCAGGAGAGUGCUCAGGAGAGUGCUCUGGGUCCCAUUUCUCUUUCUUUUCUAGGCUUUCAAGACUGCAAAAAGUCUUAUCCCGCUUUGGGAAAAGAAGUAAGGUCUCACCCCUCCCAGAGACGUACCCCUCCCUUUCUCCCUCCCCUUCCUGCCUCCCAGGGCCCAUCUUUCAAAGGACAGCCAAGGUACAAAACCUUUCAACAUGCUGAUAUUCCUUACAUAGUAAUAUUAGUCACUAAGGUUGCUUAGAAAAGGUCUUUCUGCAACUCUCUGAGGCAUAUUUUGAAGUUCAGAUAAAUCAAAAUAACUUUUGGGACAAUGGAUGUUUGGGAAAACUAAGAAGAGUACAAGGGGAGUAGAUUCCUCUUGGUUUCUCCUCGCAAAUCUUAUGCUUUUUGAAUACCCCUCCAGCAGUUCAUUUUGACGUCCAAAGUUUUGUUUCAGUGAAAUUCAACUCUGUCCUGUAACCUUACACUGCCUGAUUCCAUUGAGUAGCAGCCACUGCAAUGCCUACACUAGUCGUGGGAGGAGAGCCAAAUGGCAAACUGUCCUUAUGUCAUGUUGAGAUUUCUACUGUUUCAACAGACACAAAAGCAAUAUACGAGAAGCUGCCUAAGGUCUUUGGAGGCCAGAGGUGGCUCUGCCACCUUUGAUGGCAGAAGAAAAGUUUCCUUAGGGACAGAAGGUGACAAUCCCCUUUGUGUGUUGGCAGUGCAUUGUAAGAUUGGGCAGUGCUUGCUAAGCAGGCAGUUAUUUAGGAAGGCUUUUCUCUAACCACUUUCCUAACUCGGCAAUUGGAGAUGUCUUCUUGUGCUCCUCCCCUGACUUUGAGUUGACUUGGCAAGCGAUGGGCUGCACCUCACAACGGUUGGGAGAAAUGUUUUUGCCAAAAAUCUCAGAAACCUCAUCAGGAGGGCUUUAAACUGACUAAUGUGGGGGAAGGAGACAGUGCUCCUGAAGGUAGGAGUCUAUCAAUUGAUGAAGAUGAUCAUCCAAAUGUUAUAGACCAAAUGGAGCAAACAGCACACAGACCUAGUGGGGGGAGGAAACUAUCCUUAAGUACGAGUCACGGGGGAGUGAUUAAUGGACUUCAAUGUCUGUACACUAAUGCGCAAAGCAUGGGAAAUAAACAAGAUGAGCUUGAGCUCUUGGUACAGCAAACUAAAUAUGACAUAAUAGGCAUCACUGAAACCUGGUGGGAUAAGUCCCACGAUUGGAAUGUAAUAAUGGAGGGAUACAAUCUAUUUCAGAGAAACAGACCAGACAAGAAAGGAGGAGGAGUGGCGUUAUAUGUCAGGCAUGUGUAUACCUGUGAAGAGAUCCAAGAUUUAGAACCUCAAAGCCAAAGUGAGAGCAUUUGGGUCAAAAUUAAGGGAGAGAAGAAUAACAGUGACGUCAUUGUGGGAGUUUACUAUAGAUCCCCAAGCCAAACGGAGGACAUAGAUGAUGCCUUCCUGGAACAGAUGGCCAAGCAUGCAAAAGGAAGGGAGAUAGUAGUAAUGGGGGACUUCAAUUACCCGGAUAUUUGUUGGAUGUCAAACUCAGCCAAGAGCAUAAGCUCAAACAGAUUCUUCACUGGCCUUGCAGACAACUUCAUUGUCCAGAAAGUGGGAGAAGCAACAAGAGGAACAGCCAUUUUAGAUCUGGUCCUAACCAAUGUUGAUGACCUGGUUAGUGGGGUAGAAGUGGAAGGAUCAUUAGGCACGAGUGAUCAUGCUCUUCUGAAGUUUACUAUACAGCAGAAAGGAGCAGCCAAGCAUACUAGGACUCAAUUUCUUGACUUUAAGAAAGCCGACUUCAUAAAACCUAGGGAAGUGCUGGGUGAGAUCCCAUGGACAGUAAUACUAAAAGGAAAGGGAGUGCAUGAUGGCUGGGAGUUUGUUUAAGAGGGAGAUAGUAAAAGCACAACGUCAGGCAAUACCAAUGAGACGGAAACAUGGAAGGUGCCUAAAGAAGCCAGGGUGGCUAUCUAAAGAACUUUUAACUGAGUUAAGAUUUAAAAAGGAUGUGUACAAAAAAUGGAAAAGGGGGGAAACCACCAAAGAGGAAUUCAAACAAAUAGCCAGCACGUGUAGACACAAAGUCAGAAAAGCUAAAGCACAGAAUGAACUCAGGCUUGCUAGAGAGGUUAAAAGCAACAAAAAAGGCUUUUAUGGGUAUGUUUGUAGUAAAAGGAAGAACAAAGAAACAGUGGGGUCACUCAGAGGAGAAGAUGGUGAAAUGCAAACAGGGGACACAGAAAGGGCUGAACUCCUCAAUGCCUUCUUUGCCUCAGUCUUCUCCGAUAAAGAAAACAAUGCCUGACCUGAAGAAUUUGGAGCAAAUGAUUCAGCAAUGGAAACACAGCCCAGAAUAACUAAGGAGAUAGUACAAGAAUACUUGGCUAGUUUAGAUGUAUUCAAGUCUCCAGGGCCAGAUGAACUGCAUCCAAGAGUAUUAAAAGAACUGGCAGAUGUGAUCUCAGAACCACUGGCAGUCAUCUUUGAGAAUUCCUGGAGAACAGGCGAAGUCCCGGCAGACUGGAGGAGGGCAAAUGUUGUCCCUAUUUUCAAAAAGGGGAAAAGAGAGGACCCAAAUAAUUACCGCCCAGUCAGUCUGACAUCAAUACCAGGAAAGAUUCUGGAGCAGAUCACUAAGUAAACAGUCUGUGAGCACCUAGAAAGCAAUGCUGUGAUCACCAAUAGUCAGCAUGGAUUUUUGAAAAAUAAGUCAUGUCAGACUAACCUGAUCUCGUUUUUUGACAGAAUUACAAGCCUGGUAGAUGAAGGGAACGCAGUGGAUGUAGCCUACCUUGAUUUCAGCAAGGCAUUUGACAAGGUGCCCCAUGAUAUUCUUGUCAAGAAGCUGGUAAAAUGCGGCCUUGACUAUGCUACCACUCAGUGGAUUUGUAACUGGCUGACUGACCGAACCCAAAGGGUGCUCAUCAAUGGUUCCUCUUCAUCCUGGAGAAGAGUGACUAGUGGGGUGCCACAGGGUUCUGUCUUGGGCCUGGUCUUAUUCAACAUCUUUAUCAACGACUUGGAUGAUGGACUCAAGGGCAUCCUGAUCAAAUUUGUAGAUGACACCAAACUGGAAGGGUGGCUAACACCCCAGAGGACAGGAUCACACUUCAAAACGACCUUGACAGAUUAGAGAACUGGGCAAAAACAAACAAGAUGAAUUUUAACAGGGAGAAAGGUAAAGUAUUGCACUUGGGCAAAAAAAAUGAGAGGCACAAAUACAAGAUGGGUGACACCUGGCUUGAGAGCAGUACAUGUGAAAAGGAUCUAGGAGUCUUGGUUGACCACAAACUUGACAUGAGCCAACAGUGUGACGCGGCAGCUAAAAAAGCCAAUGCAAUACUGGGCCUCAUCAAUAGGAGUAUAGCAUCUAGAUCAAAGGACGUAAUAGUGCCACUGUAUUCUGCUCUGGUCAGACCUCACCUGGAGUACUGUGUCCAGUUCUGGGCACCACAGUUCAAGAAGGACACUGACAAACUGGAACGUGUCCAGAGGAGGUCAACCAAAAUGGUCAAAGGCCUGGAAACGAUGCAUUAUGAGGAACGGCUAAGGGAGCUGGGCAUGUUUAGCCUGGAGAAGAGGAGGUUAAGGGGUGAUAUGAUAGCCAUGUUCAAAUAUAUAAAAGGAUGUCACAUAGAGGAGGGAGAAAGGUUGUUUUCUGCUGCUCCAGAGAAGCGGACACGGAGCAAUGGAUCCAAACUACAACAAAGAAGAUUCCACCUAAACAUUAGGAAGAACUUCCUGACAGUAAGAGCUGUUCGACAGUGGAAUUUGCUGCCAAGGAGUGUGGUGGAGUCUCCUUCUUUGGAGGUCUUUAAGCAGAGGCUUGACAACCAUAUGUCAAGAGUGCCCUGAUGGUGUUUCCUGCUUGGCAUGGGGUUGGACUUGAUGGCCCUUGUGGUCUCUUCCAACUCUAUGAUUCUAUGAUUCUAUGCUUCUGUUGGUCUGCCUCUUUCUAAACUCCAGAUUGAAAGGAGUUUAAAGGAGAAAUAGACAUGAAGGGCAAUAUAGAAAUUUAAUAAAUAAUAAAAAUAUUACUAUUAGCAGACAAUAAAGCUCCCAGUGGCUACCAGUCAUAAUGAUACUUUCAGAAUCAAAUAAAGCCCAAUUUUGCCCAUUGCUUGGCAUAAUGGCCAGAAAUGGCUGAUACCCUUAUCCUGCCUGUGAAUUGCUGGUCUGGUCCAGCAAGGCUGCUCUGGUGAUAUUAUAUGUGCUGUACAAAUGUUUACAUAAUGGAUAAUGAUAAGUGGAAAGUUUCUGAGUGGGGUGAAGCCAUAAAGCCACUUUCAAAGACGCCUGGGUGCAUUCUCUGGUGACACAGGUGUCUUGAUAGGACUAUACCUUGCGAUGUUUGAAGUGGAUCUGAAUAUCCCUGUUGAACUGUUUUCAAUCAAUCAAUCAAUCAAUCAAUCUUUAUUACAGUCCAGAGACCCAACAAAUCGUUACAAAGCAAUGCACAAUUCAGACAGCCCACCUCCAGGUUAAACAAGCAUUUUGUUCAGACUUAAAGAUAGGGACCAUUGGUUCUUGCAGCCACUGAUAAAAACUUUGCCACUGCUAAUGUUCUAGCAUUUGUCCGGUCUUCCAAUAGGAACCUGACAUAGUGAGCCUCUGAUUUUCCCAGGAAAGGUACCAGCAAGGGUAAUAUCAGUUCAGCUUGCUCAUAUUUCACACAGUGCAGCAAAAUAUGUUUUAUAGAGUCGAUGUCUUGAGCACACGAGCCAAGUCUGUCCUGGUAGGGAACGCCUCUCAACCUACCAUCCAACACUGCAGAAGGAAAGACGUUUAGUCUGGCUUUGGAGAAUAACCUUCGAUAAUUUGGUACUGUCAGGUUUUUAAUGUAAGGUGUUAACUUAAAGACAUGCCCAUAUUAUACUCCAACUGCCAGCGGACUACUGACUGCGUGUGAUCGAGAUCGCAAGUCACUGUGUGUAUUAUCUCAUAAUCUUUGCUUUAACGUCUUUUGGGCGCCUUCAUAAUAAAGUUGGGCGUGGGGGUGACAGACCAAUAGAGGUGGCUUUUCUAGCCAUGGUUUUCUGCCAUUUGCUGACAAACUCCUCAUUUGUCAAAUGUUAGUACAAACCCUUCCCUAGAUCAAACACUGAAAUCCUGAGCCAAUGUUUUAGGGCAGCCCACCGUUGAACUGUUUUCUCUCUCAGCGUAGAGUGAACCACCCUGAGACCUGCGGGAAUUGGGCGGUAUAUAAAUUCAAUGAAUAAAUAAAUUCCUUGCUCCAUAUAAUAGGACAUUUCUGUGUACUGAGCACAUGCGUGGGGCACACAGAAAUCAGUACAGGUGACCAGGCAUGGGCAGAAAGCAUUCCAAAAAGGUUCCCACACCUGCUUCAGCUAAAAGCAACACAGCUUGGCAGACACAGCAAUAUGCUAUGCCCGAUGUCCUGUGAAUUAGGAGGACAUUCUUAUCUCCCCCAGAGGAUUUACUAGCACCAUGGAUUCUAUCCUAACAUCUAAUAAUGUGCCAAUUAACCAAGAUACCUUCAGGAUAAUUCCCAGAGCUGAAAGUGACCACUUUCCACUUGAGUUAUCUCUGACAUCAUUCGUUUCUCCUGCCUUUCCUAAAUUAUUGGAUGAAACGGAAUAUCUGAUACUUGGAAACACAAGGUUAAAAUGGAAUGCACAGGUCCAAGAAAAAAUUAUUCAGAUCCUGGAUUCCCAUGAAUUUGCUUUAUUAAAGGGGGAAAUGUUGUUAGAAACAGGAAACAUAAUCGGACUUUAUGAGAACAUAAUCAACCGAAUGAGCCCACUGAUGACCACAACUAGUGUGAUAAAAAACAAAGUUAAAGACCAGAAGGACAUUCUGUGCACCUCUUUCACAAAUCCAGGCCCAGAUCCCCAUUGCUUACUGGCCUGAAUCUGCAAUCAUUUUGCCACCCAAGGUGAAAAUGGAAUUUGCUGCAUGAAGGGGGCUUUGCAGCUCAAAGUCUUGAGCAUCAUAGCAUUUACCAAACCUCUACCCUGAAAGAUGCAAGCUCUGCUUGGCCUUCAAGCAGCAUCGUUUUACCUGGCUAGCAAUCAUUUUUAGGUCGUUUUGAAAUGAACCAACCAUCUGCUCUGCAUUUUUGACAGAUGAAUGGUUAUUGCUCAAAUAAUUUUCUCUGACACAUAAGAUACUUAUUUUUAACAGCUCGUUCUUGGGGGCUCAUUCUGAUGUAUCAUUUCGUGCUUACACAAUUAAGUCUGAAAGUCAUCCUGUGAAUAAUACACACAUGUUGGAAAGUUAUGGCAGAACGGGUUAAGAGCUGGCUUAACUUCUUCUUUUCCCCAGCACUGAUGCUGUGAGCAGAUCCUACAAAUAGUCUGUUAACAGGAUUCUGUCCAGAAGCAAUUGUUUGAGCUCAAAAGGGUAAGGUGGGGCUUAUUAGCUCUUCCCACAUGUACCUUCCUGCAUCUGCCAGCACCUGCUAUUCACCCAUUGUUCCUGUCCAAAAAAGAGGCCUGAUCUGAAAACAUGUGGUAUAACUUUAAGGGUCAGCCCAAAGCAUUUUGCUGCCUGAGAUGGACAAGAGAUGCUUCUAACAUCCCCAUUUCAUAUGCAGUAACAGAUCAGACAAUCUUACUUCAGCACUGUUUGGCGGGGCAGCAUCCUCCACCGUACCUGAGGGCAAUAAAAUUGCUUAAGAGGUACAUGGCAGGUCAAGAAGGGACUCACAGCUCAGUCCUCCAACAGCUGGGAACAGCCAGGGUUGGGGGGGUCAUGCCGCCACUGCCAUUUCCCCCCUUCCACACAUCCAGCAUCUGCUAGUUGAGGUGGUUUCACCCCACCUUGUCUAACUGAAGGGCCAGUCCUGGAAUUUACACAGCCUUGUUUGCACAUGCAUACCCGUCGCUGAUUCACUGUUAGAUCCAACUCCACCAACAGACUUUUCAUAUCACCUCAUCUUGCUUCAGACAGUCUUUCUCACUGAAGUCCAUCCACACACAAUUCACCUCAAGGGGUCCCCCCCCCCAUCCUGUGCUAAUUAGCUGCUCAAAGCCACCAAAUGUUUCUGCUAGCACCAACGCCACCAUCUUAAUUAGUUGUAACCAGGGCUUUGUAACCAGGAUCUCACCAGAACUCUGUUCAGGCACCAUUGUCAUUCUAAGAGAACAAGGGAGGUAUUCAUGGUGACUUCUGACACGUCUUUUUCUUGAAAAAUAGCACUGGUUGUAACUAUUUGUUCUCACUGUUCUUGUUGCAUUUAAUACAGGCAUAGGCAAACUCAGCCCUCCAGAUGUUUUGGGACUACAACUCCCAUCACCCUGACCACUGGUCCUGUUAGCUAGGGAUGGGAGUUGUAGUCCCAAAACAUCUGGAGGGCCGAGUUUGCCUAUGCCUGAUUUAGUAUCUCACAGAACUGGUCGCCCCAUAAGGUGGGGUGAGGCAGCCACCUCAAGCAGCACCCUCCAAGGCUUGUGGCCCCCAUUCUGCCCUCCCCCUUUUGCUGCUUGGUAUCUAGGCACAGAGAGGGAUGCUUUGCAUAGUGCAUCCCCUCCUGCUAAGUCAGGGAGAGGAGAGGUGGUCUAUCGCCCAGCUUUGCCUAGGGACAGCAGGGGAGGUUCCCCUCCCCGCCAUCCAGUAGUGUGGGCGGCCUCUCCUGAAGGGAGGAGCCAAUGCAAAGCUCUGCUUCCAGGGGUAGGAGAGCAUCCUGAAAGGAUCAUUCCCCCUGCCCAGUACGGGAGAGUCCACAAGGGCUUCUCAUGAAGGAGGAAAAGCUCAUACAGUAUUUGCCCCCGCAGCAGGACAUUUUACCUCAGGGGCCAAAACGCCUCAGGCUGUCCCUGCUCACUCAGCUACAGGUGCACCACUGUGCACUUGUAUGCUUGACAUUCCAGCAUCUGAUGGGGUCUGCAGUACAUGAUAGUCCAUAUAACCCCACCAUGCUAAAUGGGGGAGUUGGGAUUGGCUCCUUAGUCUAUAACCAUCUUCCAAGAAAAUAAGAAUUCUCAUGGUCAUCGCUUAUUGUUACACAGAAGCAGACCUGUAGCAUAAUUAUACUAUAUGAUGGUUACCUGCAUGGUAGUAAAGGAUGGCCCCAAAUUUCAGCAAUUUACCCUUUUUUUCUGUAACUAAAAGAAAUCAUGGAAUAAAAGAAAUCCCAUUAAAUCUAUUAUUUGGUGGGCUGUGAUCUACAAAAGCUCUUUCCGUAAUAAAUUCGUUAGUCUUUAACGUGUGGCGAGUCUCUUUGUCAUUCAAGUGCCAAGGAAACCAAUUGAUAAGAAAUCAAAUUAUGUGCAGGCCCCUCUGUGAGCUUGUCCUUACUUAUUUUUCAGCACCUGUUUUUGCCUGGCUGUGAAACUUCAUUUACCUUUUCAUCAGGAUACAGGAUUGGUGUGCAGAUCACAGAGAUGGUUGUUUGAAAUACGGAAAAUGAAAAAGAUGGCAUCGAAUAUUUAUUUUAUUUGUUUGGUUUAAGGAUUUAUAUGCCCCCCCCCACUUCAGUAUAACUAUUUCCUGUGUGGUUUACAGACAAAAGAAUGAAAUACAAAGUAAAUAAAAUACAGGCUGCAACAGCGCUGAGAACCAGAAGACAACAGAUAAAUGGUGCCUUAAAAAAACAGCCCUAGUUGUUUAGAUCUUUGUUUAUUAAACAUCUUUGGUGCAAAUAGUUCCCCGGGGCAGGUAAACAAAGCACAAACUUAAUACAAAUCUUCAAUAAAAAUCAAUAAAAUGACAAAACAGCAGCAAAUAAUACUGUGCCAAUAAAUAAAUAAAGGAGAGUUUUAAAUAUAAAAAUCACAAUAACUUGAUGUUUUCUGAUAUUAUACUGUGCUUCGCUACAGAUUUUUCUCUACACUGCCAAUGGUAGGGAGGACAACGGGUCCUGAAUGG